CUUAAAUUUUCAUUUCCCACUAAAUUUUUUCUAUUUCUCUCUGGAAUUUUUAUUUUUCUACUUUCAUUUCUUAAGGCUUUUCGCAUCCCUACUCAAAUACUUCAUUUCCCUACUUUACAAAUCCCUAACCCUAUCACGUCUCUUGCAGCCUCUCUCUUAUCUCAUCUGGGCUUUCCAUGUCUCGUUCACUGAGAGGGCUUUUGCCUUCCAAUUUCUUUGCCACUCGCUGCUGGUUACCUCCCUCCUACCUCUUUAUCCCAUUUCUAUUAUUGGCUAUUGCUUUCAAUGCUGGUUACUCUUUUAUAUAUAAUAGACAGAGGGUCAUUUUGUUACUGUAGUGAACAAGGUAAGGUUUUUGUUAUUUCAUUUGUCUAUCUGUUAUAUUUAAAUACUAUUGUCGUGGAAUGCCCUUUUCAUUUGAAACGUUCGUACUUCAAAUUGGUGCAGGUUUUUUAUGGUUUAAAACUCUAAUUUGCUGGGUCAUGUUUUAAAGAUGGGCUUUUUUUCUAUGAGUGAUUUUGUCAAUUAUUUGGGCUUACUAGUUCAUUUCAGUAGUUGUUAGCUCCCGCUUUUUGUUAUUUUUGUCCGUACUUUAGAUGGUAUUAUUAAGUUUAUGCCUUUUUCCUUGGAAAUGAAAUAUAUGAACAAUACAAGGAUUACAUAGUGAUGCCAGGAUUUUUAAGUAUAGAGACGAGUGAUUCACAGCAAGAGUCAUGUUUGAUACACCUUCAGCUGAAAUUUAUUAAAAUAAGAGUACUCGGGUGCUGCUUAUGGAUUUGGUUAAUGUGGUGGAUAUUCAUGGAAGCCAUGGGGUUGAAUUAUUUGUUGGAUAUUAUAGUGAUACAUGAGCAACUUCUCAUCCCCCCCCCCCCGUUUGUUACAAAAUUCAAAAUAUGUAUUUUAGUGCUAUUUAAUUUUUAAAUCAAACUCUGUUUGGGUUCUUUCAGAAUUUGAAACCUGCUAUCCCUGAUUAUUGUCCCCUUGCCAUGAGGGCGUUGAUUGAUCAUUGUUGGUCUGUGCAACCGGACAAGAGUCCCAAGUUUUGGCAGAUUGUGAAAGAUCAUGCAUUUGUGCCUAUUGUUGUCAUUAAUAACUCAGGUGAUUGUAUUUGUGCUGUUCAUCCCUUGUGCUGCCUCUAUAUAUAUGAUUUUCUUUUCAUACCAAAACCAUCGGUAGUGCAAUUUUUUAUGUUUAUGUCUCAUGUUUGAAUCCCCCCCUCUCUCUUUCUUCUGCAGCACGAUAAUGCCUUUGGCGAUAGCCGUGAUACAAAGAAAGUUAACAUUCCUAGAUAUGCUGUAAGUCUCUUGAUAUGGCAUUAGUUUAUACUCUACUUUUAUGAAUCAUUCAGUUAAUUGAGUGGAAUUGUAGUUUCAUUUAUAAAAUUAUGCUUCUUUAGUGAAUGCUUUAAGCUUGUAUGCCAAACAAAGAAAAAUCGACAUUGUAUCCUGCAGUUUUUUGUGUUUAUUAGACUUUAGUCAUUGCCACGAGCAUAUAUAUUAAGUGGUGUUUCUCUUCUUGUUAAUAGAUUGUACUCCGCUUUAUUUGGCUGUUAUUUGCAGUAUAUUUUGCCAGAUUUAUAUUAAGGCUAUGCAUGGAUGAAAGGAUAGAAAACGAGGAGAGACAGAUAAUUGCAAUAUGGAUUUUCUGUCCUUUAAGGAGACAAAACUAUUGUCCUUCCUUUGGC
RNAcentral lists this long non-coding RNA (1684 nucleotides) under Olea europaea subsp. europaea. Lineage: Eukaryota; Viridiplantae; Streptophyta; Magnoliopsida; Lamiales; Oleaceae. The record is from RNAcentral.